UAAAGAUUCAUCGCUGAUAGAUAGGCAUGCGUUCCAUUAGGCAGUUGGCGGGGUAACGGCCCACCAAACCGACGAUGGAUAGGGGUUCUGAGAGGAAGGUCCCCCACAUUGGUACUGAGACACGGACCAAACUCCUACGGGAGGCAGCAGUGAGGAAUAUUGGUCAAUGGGCGUAAGCCUGAACCAGCCAAGUCGCGUGAGGGAUGAAGGUUCCAUGGAUCGUAAACCUCUUUUAUAAGGGAAUAAAGUGCGGGACGAGUCCCGUUUUGUAUGUACCUUAUGAAUAAGGAUCGGCUAACUCCGUGCCAGCAGCCGCGGUAAUACGGAGGAUCCGAGCGUUAUCCGGAUUUAUUGGGUUUAAAGGGUGCGUAGGCGGCCUUUUAAGUCAGCGGUGAAAGUCUGUGGCUCAACCAUAGAAUUGCCGUUGAAACUGGGAGGCUUGAGUAUGUUUGAGGCAGGCGGAAUGCGUGGUGUAGCGGUGAAAUGCUUAGAUAUCACGCAGAACCCCGAUUGCGAAGGCAGCCUGCCAAGCCAUGACUGACGCUGAUGCACGAAAGCGUGGGGAUCAAACAGGAUUAGAUACCCUGGUAGUCCACGCAGUA
This 602-nucleotide ribosomal RNA is filed under the name uncultured bacterium. RNAcentral describes it as "bacterial SSU rRNA". It matches the Rfam family "Bacterial small subunit ribosomal RNA", at positions 202 to 804 of the family's 1533-position model. The record is from RNAcentral.